UACGUAGGGUGCAAGCGUUGAUCGGAAUUACUGGGCGUAAAGCGUGCGCAGGCGGCUUCUCAAGUCAGGGGUGAAAGCCCAGAGCUCAACUCUGGAAUUGCCUUUGAGACUGAGUGGCUUGAGUACGAGAGAGGUGAGUGGAAUUCCCAGUGUAGAGGUGAAAUUCGUAGAUAUUGGGAAGAAAACCGGUGGCGAAGGCGGCUCACUGGCCCGGUACUGACGCUGAGGUGCGAAAGCGUGGGGAGCAAACAGG
RNAcentral lists this ribosomal RNA (253 nucleotides) under uncultured bacterium. RNAcentral describes it as "partial 16S ribosomal RNA". It matches the Rfam family "Bacterial small subunit ribosomal RNA", at positions 524 to 776 of the family's 1533-position model. The record is from RNAcentral.